Molecule: long non-coding RNA, 1484 nt
Filed under: Homo sapiens (human)
Lineage: Eukaryota; Metazoa; Chordata; Mammalia; Primates; Hominidae
Description: HSALNT0193371
Source: RNAcentral
GAAGGAGCUCACCUCCCCACAAAUUGUAUAAACCUUAGUUUCCACAAAACCUGGAUCUUCCCUGGCAUCAUCAUUUAUUAUGUGAGUUGUUUGGGUGUGGAGAGGUGAAGUGAGAGGUGCUUGAGGGCUAUGUCUGGGGAAAUUUAUAGAAAAUUAUCUGAAAGGGCAGCUUCUGCUGACCCAUAAGAUGUCAAGAUGUAUUAUUUUGAGGUAAACAUGUCAGCAACUGGUACUUCUCGGAUGCCUUUUCAGAUGACUGAAUUCUCUCCUCAUUUCUCCUUGUUUUUGUUGUGUAGUCAUGGUGGCAGCUGAUAAGAGGUGAGAUAAUGGGGCCAGGGACAGAUACCUUAGCUGUCACCUCACAGUCUCCCACACCAUAGAGAGCAAAGAAAGACAAUGGUAAAAAAAAAAAAAAAAUCCCACCCAGGAGCCCCCCGGAACACGCCACUCAUCCUGACAAAGAGCUGGUUUCCAACUGGGACAGAUCCCAGAAGCAGACCAAGCUGGGGUGUGGGCCCCAGGGCAGUAGGAGCCAAACCAACUUGUUUCCUCUGUGAGGCUACAGGCUGCAGAGCCAGGACUAUUCUUCUCAUGGAACAAAGCACAGGGAUUAAUUUGCAGGAUGAAAUUUAUUAUGUCUUUUACAGUAAAGACAUUUUGCCCUGAAGCUUAUUAGGUUUCUGAGUGCUCACAUUUUCUGAAAAAUAGCCACUGCAAUUUGCAGAUUUAAUUCCAACCUAAGUUGGUGUGGUUCAGGGAUGUGUCCAAGACAGGCUACCCGGGGCAAUGCUGCGCAUCCAUUUCCCAGCAAAGCUUCUUUGAUUUCUGAAAGACUUUACCAUUAAAUAUAGUGAGUUGAACACAGGCUUUAUCUCUUCUCUCUUCUGAAAUCUCAAUCACAUGACUGUAAAAUAACAAAAUCGGUGUGAAGUAGGUAUAAAUCCACGCAGAAAAAAAGAAUGAGAGGAAGAUAACAGCAGACUAGAGAUUCAACAGAAUUCUGGAAGCUGGAAUCCUGAGAAGUGGGACUUGCAGGGCAGAGAAAACUGGAUCAGAAAUACUCACCCUGCCCCUGCCACAUUAGGCCAGAACAGAACACCUUUCACAAAGAGGAGCUAAUCAGGAGCAAGUUCAUUGUUAUUCUAUGUCUGCUCUCCAAUCCCUGGCCAAGAAAUUCUCUUUCUGGAGAGGGUUCCACAAGCAGAUGAGAAAACAGAAGAGCAGCAGAGUGGUGCAACAGAGAAGGAGAGAAGAGAAGGAGCAUCUGAACAUCAAGAGGAGUUCAGCUGGGGACAGUUGGUUGGGAGAUCAGCUACAGGACAGCCAAACUCCAGGGGAAGAUGAUCUUCCCACUCCAUCCCCUUUCUGGCUCCUCAUCCAUUCUGCUGAGAGCCACCUCCAGCUCUCAAUAAAACCCCCACAUUCACCAGCCUUCAAGUCUGUGUGUGAUCUGAUUCUUCCUGGAUGCUGGAAAAGGACCUGGG